This 449-nucleotide ribosomal RNA is filed under the name uncultured prokaryote. RNAcentral's name for it is "bacterial SSU rRNA". It matches the Rfam family "Bacterial small subunit ribosomal RNA", at positions 355 to 796 of the family's 1533-position model. The record is from RNAcentral.
UUUCGAAUCAUUCACAAUGGGGGAAACCCUGAUGGUGCAACGCCGCGUGGAGGAUGAAGGCCCUAGGGUCGUAAACUCCUGUCAUCAGAGAGUAAGCCUUGGUCGUUAAUAGCUUCCAAGGUUGAUAGUAUCUGAAGAGGAAGGGACGGCUAACUUCGUGCCAGCAGCCGCGGUAAUACGAAGGUCCCAAGCGUUGUUCGGAAUCACUGGGCGUAAAGAGUUCGUAGGCGGCGUGGAAAGUCAGAUGUGAAAGCCCAAGGCUCAACCUUGGAACUGCAUCCGAUACUCCCACGCUAGAGUAAUGGAGGGGUAACUGGAAUUCUCGGUGUAGCAGUGAAAUGCGUGGAUAUCGAGAGGAACACUUGUGGCGAAAGCGAGUUACUGGACAUUUACUGACGCUGAGGAACGAAGGCUAGGGGAGCGAAAGGGAUUAGAUACCCCCGUAGUCC